UGGAGCCCAACUUGGUGCCAGAAAAGAGGGGAAUUAGUGAGGGAUGUCGUUCCUGGGCCCAAAGUAGAGAAAGCAAAAAGAAAAUAGAGGACUGUCAUGGGAGCCUGCCACACCGUUGAACCUCGGUAAGUGAACAGCGAUUAUGGGACAAGAAAUUAGCCAGUAUGAGACUUUGUUGAAAGUUUAGAAGAGCUUUAAAGACACAAAGGGUAAGGAAAAAAAAAUUGGCAAUUGUGUCCACUAGGACAA
Regulatory RNA element from Cavia porcellus (domestic guinea pig), 249 nucleotides. It matches the Rfam family "Mason-Pfizer monkey virus packaging signal". Rfam says of the family: The packaging signal is located in the 5' UTR and is required for specific RNA encapsidation. Lineage: Eukaryota; Metazoa; Chordata; Mammalia; Rodentia; Caviidae. The record is from Rfam.